Molecule: ribosomal RNA, 460 nt
Filed under: uncultured bacterium
Lineage: Bacteria
Description: partial 16S ribosomal RNA
Rfam family: Bacterial small subunit ribosomal RNA
Source: RNAcentral
CCUACGGGAGGCAGCAGUGAGGAAUAUUGGUCAAUGGGCUUACGCCUGAACCAGCCAAGUCGCGUGAGGGAAGACUGUCCUAUGGGUUGUAAACUUCUUUUGUCAGGGAGCAAUGCGGGCCACGGGUGGCCGUACUGAGAGUACCUGAAGAAAAAGCAUCGGCUAACUCCGUGCCAGCAGCCGCGGUAAUACGGAGGAUGCGAGCGUUAUCCGGAUUUAUUGGGUUUAAAGGGUGCGUAGGCGGAAUGCCAAGUCAGCGGUAAAACCGCGGGGCUCAACCUCGUCCCGCCGUUGAAACUGGCGUUCUUGAGUGGGCGAGAAGUAUGCGGAAUGCGUGGUGUAGCGGUGAAAUGCAUAGAUAUCACGCAGAACUCCGAUUGCGAAGGCAGCAUACCGGCGCCCAACUGACGCUGAAGCACGAAAGCGUGGGUAUCGAACAGGAUUAGAUACCCUUGUAGUC